Molecule: small nuclear RNA, 193 nt
Organism: Platichthys flesus (European flounder)
Lineage: Eukaryota; Metazoa; Chordata; Actinopteri; Pleuronectiformes; Pleuronectidae
Product: U2 spliceosomal RNA
Exons: 1
Source: RefSeq, a predicted model, not a curated record
AUUGAUUUGACUUGAUUUGUACUGAACUGAUGAAAGUUUUUUGUAAUAAAAAAGAAAAAAAAAAAAAUGUCCUCUAUAUGAGGACUACAUAUUAAGCAGAUUUUUGGCAAGAGGAGCAGAAAUUUGGAGCUUGCUCCCUUCUCUCCGAGCAUUGGCCUAGCAUUGCAGUGCCGCUGGGAACGGUGCACUCUGU